Molecule: ribosomal RNA, 253 nt
Filed under: uncultured bacterium
Lineage: Bacteria
Description: partial 16S ribosomal RNA
Rfam family: Bacterial small subunit ribosomal RNA
Source: RNAcentral
GACGUAGGAGGCGAGCGUUGUCCGGAUUUACUGGGCGUAAAGCGCGCGCAGGCGGUCGCGCAGGUCAUCUGUGAAAGCCCCCGGCUCAACCGGGCGGAUGCGGGUGAAACCGCGCGACUGGAGGGUGGGAGAGGUCGGCGGAAUUCCCGGUGUAGUGGUGAAAUGCGUAGAGAUCGGGAGGAACACCCGUGGCGAAGGCGGCCAACUGGGCCGGACCUGACGCUGAGGCGCGAAGGCGUGGGGAGCGAACGGG